UUAACAGUACCACAGUCUGAAGUCUUCUAUUUAUCCACAGAACAGAUACAGCAUGGGAAGCGGCCGUGCAAUGUCUCAGUUUGCCUAAACCCUGACCUGGAGGGACCACCACUAAGAAUAAGAGGUUAGUUCAGUGUCCACGUCCAUUCAAACUUGGUCUCU
Molecule: unclassified non-coding RNA, 162 nt
Organism: Chrysemys picta bellii (western painted turtle)
Lineage: Eukaryota; Metazoa; Chordata; Testudines; Emydidae
Source: Ensembl